UAGUCUUGAAAACGGCCCAUUAGGGUCCUGGA
Molecule: non-coding RNA, 32 nt
Filed under: Homo sapiens (human)
Lineage: Eukaryota; Metazoa; Chordata; Mammalia; Primates; Hominidae
Source: RNAcentral